AAACCAACAGGGAUUGCCUCAGUAACGGCGAGUGAAGCGGCAAAAGCUCAAAUUUGAAACCUUCGGGAUUGUAAUUUGAAGAUUUGGCAUUGGAGAAAGCUAACCCAAGUUACUUGGAAUAGUACGUCAUAGAGGGUGACAACCCCGUCUGGCUAACCGUUCUCCAUGUAUUGCCUUAUCAAAGAGUCGAGUUGUUUGGGAAUGCAGCUCAAAGUGGGUGGUAAACUCCAUCUAAAGCUAAAUACUGGUGAGAGACCGAUAGCGAACAAGUACUGUGAAGGAAAGGUGAAAAGAACUUUGAAAAGAGAGUGAAAUAGUAUGUGAAAUUGUUGAUAGGGAAGGAAAUGAGUGGAGAGUGGUUUAGGUUUCAGCCCUUCUUUGGAAGGGUGUACUGCCGACGCCGAGUCAUUGUCAGCGAGAUGGGGGAUAUAAACGGUUUCCUUUUAAGGUUUCCACCUACCCCCCUUACUGCCGUCAACGACAUAAUCCACCCAUUUCAC
Molecule: ribosomal RNA, 500 nt
Filed under: Yarrowia galli
Lineage: Eukaryota; Fungi; Ascomycota; Dipodascomycetes; Dipodascales
Description: eukaryotic LSU rRNA
Rfam family: Eukaryotic large subunit ribosomal RNA
Source: RNAcentral